This 360-nucleotide ribosomal RNA is filed under the name uncultured bacterium. Its description in RNAcentral is "bacterial SSU rRNA". It matches the Rfam family "Bacterial small subunit ribosomal RNA", at positions 162 to 518 of the family's 1533-position model. The record is from RNAcentral.
AUUAAUGCCCCAUAGGCCCAGGGCGACCGCAUGGCGCUAUGGGUAAAGCUCCGGCGGAUGGGGAUGGGCAUGCGUGCCAUUAGCUAGUUCGGGGCGGUAACGGCGCACCAAGGCGACGAUGGCUAGGGGGUCUGAGAGGAUGGUCCCCCACACUGGUACUGAGACACGGACCAGACUCCUACGGGAGGCAGCAGUGAGGAAUAUUGGUCAAUGGGCGGAAGCCUGAACCAGCCAUGCCGCGUGCAGGAUGACGGCCCUACGGGUUGUAAACUGCUUUUCCCCGGGAAGAAUAAGCCCCUCGUGAGGGGUGAUGCCGGUACCGGGGGAAUAAGGAUCGGCUAGCUCCGUGCCAGCCGCGGC